RNAcentral lists this ribosomal RNA (519 nucleotides) under uncultured eukaryote. Its description in RNAcentral is "SSU rRNA". It matches the Rfam family "Eukaryotic small subunit ribosomal RNA", at positions 1161 to 1704 of the family's 1831-position model. The record is from RNAcentral.
AGGGCACCACCAGGAGUGGAGCCUGCGGCUUAAUUUGACUCAACACGGGGAAACUCACCCGGCCCGGACACCGGAAGGAUUGACAGAUUGAUAGCUCUUUCUUGAUUCGGUGGAUGGUGGUGCAUGGCCGUUCUUAGUUGGUGGAGCGAUCUGUCUGGUUAAUUCCGAUAACGAACGAGACUCUAGCCUAUUAAAUAGACGUCGGGUUCUCUGCACUCGACGGUCUUCUUAGAGGGACAAGGUGCUUUUAGCACCGCGAAACAGAGCAAUAACAGGUCUGUGAUGCCCUUAGAUGUCCGGGGCCGCACGCGCGCUACACUGAAGGAAGCAGCGUGUAACAACCUUGUUCUAACGAACUGGGUAACCCGUGGAACUUCCUUCAUGAUUGGGAUAGGGGUUUGCAAUUUUGCCCCUUGAACGAGGAAUUCCCAGUAAACACUAGUCACCAGCUAGUGCUGAUUACGUCCCUGCCCUUUGUACACACCGCCCGUCGCUACUACCGAUUGAAUGGUUUAGUGA